Molecule: ribosomal RNA, 483 nt
Filed under: uncultured bacterium
Lineage: Bacteria
Description: partial 16S ribosomal RNA
Rfam family: Bacterial small subunit ribosomal RNA
Source: RNAcentral
UUGAACGCUGGCGGCAUGCUUUACACCUGCAGGUCGAACGGCAGCGCGGGCUUCGGCCUGGCGGCGAGUGGCGAACGGGUGAGUAAUGCAUCGGAACGUGCCCAGUAGUGGGGGAUAGCCCGGCGAAAGCCGGAUUAAUACCGCAUACGACCUGAGGGUGAAAGCGGGGGACCGAAAGGCCUCGCGCUAUUGGAGCGGCCGAUGUCGGAUUAGCUAGUUGGUGGGGUAAAGGCUUACCAAGGCGACGAUCCGUAGCUGGUCUGAGAGGACGACCAGCCACACUGGGACUGAGACACGGCCCAGACUCCUACGGGAGGCAGCAGUGGGGAAUUUUGGACAAUGGGGGCAACCCUGAUCCAGCCAUGCCGCGUGCGGGAAGAAGGCCUUCGGGUUGUAAACCGCUUUUGUUCGGGAAGAAAUCCUCUGGGCUAAUACCCCGGGGGGAUGACGGUACCGGAAGAAUAAGCACCGGCUAACUACGUG